RNAcentral lists this ribosomal RNA (478 nucleotides) under uncultured bacterium. RNAcentral's name for it is "partial 16S ribosomal RNA". It matches the Rfam family "Bacterial small subunit ribosomal RNA", at positions 28 to 523 of the family's 1533-position model. The record is from RNAcentral.
GACGAACGCUGGCGGCGUGCUUAACACAUGCAAGUCGAACGGUAAGGCCCUUCGGGGUACACGAGUGGCGAACGGGUGAGUAACACGUGGGUGAUCUGCCCUGCACUUCGGGAUAAGCCUGGGAAACUGGGUCUAAUACCGGAUAGGACCACUGCCUGCAUGGGUGGUGGUGGAAAGCUUUUGCGGUGUGGGAUGGGCCCGCGGCCUAUCAGCUUGUUGGUGGGGUGAUGGCCUACCAAGGCGACGACGGGUAGCCGGCCUGAGAGGGUGACCGCCCACGGUGGGACUGAGAUACGGCCCAGACCCCUACGGGAGGCAGCAGUGGGGAAUAUUGCACAAUGGGCGCAAGCCUGAUGCCGCGACGCCGCGUGAGGGAUGACGGCCUUCGGGUUGUAAACCUCUUUCAGCACCGACGAAGCGCAAGUGACGGUAGGUGCAGAAGAAGGACCGGCCAACUACGUGCCAGCAGCCGCCGUAA